GCCGUGCACGGUGGCGUGUGCCUGUAGUCCCAGCUACUCGGGAGGCUGAGGCAGGAGGAUGGCUUGAGCCCAGGAGUUCUGGGCUGCAGUGCACUAUGCCGAUCGGGUGUCUGCACUAAGUUCGGCAUCAAUAUGGUGACCUCCUGGGAGCGGGGGACCACCAGGUUGCCUAAGGAGGGGUGAACCGGCCCAGGUUGGAAAAAUGAAGCCUAAUAUAUUGGCAAAUUCAAUUAAUGGGAAAAUGAUAGAACACAUAAUAAUUUAGAAAAACAAAACGAAAGU
This is an unclassified non-coding RNA of Dasypus novemcinctus (nine-banded armadillo), 282 nucleotides long. It matches the Rfam family "Metazoan signal recognition particle RNA". Rfam says of the family: The signal recognition particle (SRP) is a universally conserved ribonucleoprotein. It is involved in the co-translational targeting of proteins to membranes. The record is from Ensembl. Lineage: Eukaryota; Metazoa; Chordata; Mammalia; Cingulata; Dasypodidae.